This 1657-nucleotide ribosomal RNA is filed under the name Triticum aestivum (bread wheat). RNAcentral describes it as "partial small subunit ribosomal RNA". Lineage: Eukaryota; Viridiplantae; Streptophyta; Magnoliopsida; Poales; Poaceae. The record is from RNAcentral.
GACGGGAGCGAGGGGAGCGUCAGCGUUCGGCGGAGCGGCCGCUGGGACGUGGAGGCGUUCCGGGGUGGCGGUCACUGGAAGGGGGGGCCCGGAGGCCCUGGAGGUACCGCGGCGGCCGGGAGUAAGAGCGGCCUAGGCCGGCGGAGGUGCGGUUUAGGCGGCCUUUACCUAGGCAGGGCCGGUCUAGGCGGGCCUAGGCUGGCCCGGGGCGGCAGCAGCGGUGGCCUCGCGGUGGGGCGAGUUGGACGUCGCGGUGGAAGGUGGCCGUCCGGAACCUCUUGGAGUAGAGAGACUAAAGGAGAGUUAAAAACGUCCUACCCGUUCUUGGUCUAUAUCAUCAAUGUAGAUUUCCCUACUUAAAUCUCCUUCUACGUCGUUCUUAACUAGCUCAUUUUUCCGUUGAAGCCGUACGGUUACCCUGGAAAAGUCAUUCACGAAACUGAGACAAAAAAGUACCGGUACACACCUUAUUAACGGUUACUAUAGUUUUAAUUCGAGGAGGGCACUUACUUGUUCGUUUACAAGAAUUUGAUAUCCAUAUAAAAAAGAUAAAGAACUACUUUUACAAGGUCAUAGUACAUGAUAGGCGCAAGUGAAUUAGUAGGCACAAGACGAGGGCGGCGGCCAACACACACACACCGUACCCACCGUAGAUGAAACGGUAAUAUCCUUCAUUUCGAUACUCGCCAAAAGAAGAAAAUAAUUGCCGGUUAACAAAAUAAUGAAACACGUUCCUUAGGUUAAAGAAUCGCCAAAAUAUAAUAACUUACGUCUGAACGUCAAAUUGAAAAAUCGUUCGAAAACAAGAUGCAGUUAGAUCGUACCAAUAUACAACAACUUACAACUGAAGUAAUACUCAAAGACUGAUAGAUGAACAAGUACAAAUAUGCCUACUCCACGACAGUCCCCACCGACUCUGGUAGUUCUUGAAACAGGACUAGAUGGUACAACUGUAGUGGUUCCAAGGACUGAAGUUGAGGUACAUGCUCGACAUGCUGGGCAGUUGCCACUACAAGAAGAAGGCGUUGUUCGUGUAGUACUAACUAGAACCCUGUUCUUUGUUGUUGUUCUAGUUGACCCGUUACUUUCUGUUCCUUCUCAAACAACUGUAGCACCUCUGACAGAUAUCUCCUCGAGCAUUCCGACAGCAGACCACUAACGAGGGUACCUAAUGAGGUGGUUUAUGUCAUCGGUAUGUUUUUUUGUAACAACCCGUGGGAACUACUGAUUUUGUCUCUCUCACCCUAGUAGUUAAGGAACCAUAGAGAUAGGAGUUGGUUUGAUGCCUGGUAGGUUGGAAGCCAGUCGCCCACUAACUACCUGGUUAAUACGGUCAUUACAGGAAUUAAAGUCUCUUCUACGUUUUGUCUAUUGUACCUACUCGAACGUAUGAACGGCCAUCACAUCGAAAGACGACUUGGUAUAUAAGACGGUCCUCUUCAAAGUCACUGGUUACCUUCGAAACUACAUAAAAAAAGUUCGUUUUCAUUAGCAGAUAAUAGGUACAGUCCAAAGCUGAGUUUAACACCACGAAAACAAGAUACGUUAAAAUAAAAGAAUGAUUACGGUACAAGACCGUAAGGAAUAGAAAAUACGGACUACACUCAUAAUCACGAUUAUUCUUGAUAAAAAAGGGUUACCAUUUAGAUGGAAAAGG